UGUCUUUUUGAAAAUAAUAUAAAGUCUAAUCUGCCCACUGAUUUUAUAUUAAAGGGCUGCAGUAUUUUGACUGUACAAAGGUAGCAUAAUCAUUAGUCAUUUAAUUGAUGACUUGUAUGAAAGAUUGAAUGAAAUAUAAACUGUCUCUUAAUUAUUAGUAUAAAAUUUAAUUUUUUAAUUAAAAAGUUAAAAUAAUUUAAAAAGACGAGAAGACCCUAUAGAGUUUUAUAUUUAAAUUAAUUAAGAUUAUUUAAAAUUUAAAAUUAAAAUUAAUUUAUUUAUUAUAUUGGGGUGAUAGAAAAAUAUAUAUAACUUUUUUUACAUAAAAACAUUUAUAAGUGAUUAAAUGAUCCAAUAAUAUUGAUUAUAAGAAAAAAUUACCUUAGGGAUAACAGCGUAAUUUUUUUUUUUAGUUCACAUAAAAAAAAGAGUUUGCGACCUCGAUGUUGGAUUAAGAUAAAAUUUAAAUGUAGAAG
RNAcentral lists this ribosomal RNA (476 nucleotides) under Busseola nairobica. Its description in RNAcentral is "partial 16S large subunit ribosomal RNA". The record is from RNAcentral. Lineage: Eukaryota; Metazoa; Arthropoda; Insecta; Lepidoptera; Noctuidae.